This 77-nucleotide transfer RNA is filed under the name Hyphococcus luteus. RNAcentral describes it as "Marinicaulis flavus tRNA-Met". It matches the Rfam family "tRNA". Rfam says of the family: Transfer RNA (tRNA) molecules are approximately 80 nucleotides in length. Their secondary structure includes four short double-helical elements and three loops (D, anti-codon, and T loops). Further hydrogen bonds mediate the characteristic L-shaped molecular structure. tRNAs have two regions of fundamental functional importance: the anti-codon, which is responsible for specific mRNA codon recognition, and the 3' end, to which the tRNAs corresponding amino acid is attached (by aminoacyl-tRNA synthetases). tRNAs cope with the degeneracy of the genetic code in two manners: having more than one tRNA (with a specific anti-codon) for a particular amino acid; and 'wobble' base-pairing, i.e. permitting non-standard base-pairing at the 3rd anti-codon position. Lineage: Bacteria; Pseudomonadati; Pseudomonadota; Alphaproteobacteria; Parvularculales; Parvularculaceae. The record is from RNAcentral.
CGCGGGGUGGAGCAGUCCGGUAGCUCGUCAGGCUCAUAACCUAUAGGUCAGAGAUUCAAAUCCUCUCCCCGCGCCCA